This 365-nucleotide long non-coding RNA is filed under the name Phoenix dactylifera (date palm). Its description in RNAcentral is "long non-coding RNA (PDAC_LNC022290)". Lineage: Eukaryota; Viridiplantae; Streptophyta; Magnoliopsida; Arecales; Arecaceae. The record is from RNAcentral.
ACCAUUCUGGAAGAAUGCAAAUAUCCCCAAAUUUUGUGCGCAAAUAGUUCCUUUUGUUUUGCUAAUUUGAAUUGCAUGGUAGUUUACUUCUUGAUCUUUCUUACAGAAAAUGCUGUUGCCUUGUGGGCUUCCUCCCGAGAGAGAAGAGGAUUGAAGUAUUUUCGAAGCAAGCACUGCAGCAAAUACUCUUCCAUCGUAUAUUAGCUUUGUUUGAAAGAGGAGGAGAAAGCAUUAUUAUUGCAUCUAUAUCGAACAUGAUGACAAUGUCUUUUUAGUGGACUCUUGGGUUUACAUGAGGGAUGUGGACUUCAGAUAGUCUGUACUCGUUUAGGUGGCACUUUGUUUUGCUUCUGUUAGGAUUUCUG